Molecule: unclassified non-coding RNA, 312 nt
Filed under: uncultured fungus
Lineage: Eukaryota; Fungi
Description: partial contains 5.8S rRNA and ITS2
Source: RNAcentral
AACGCAAAUUGCGCUCGAGGCUUCGGCCAAGAGCAUGUCUGCCUCAGCGUCGGGUUAAAACUCGCUCUACCCUUCCUGGGUAAGAUGCGGAUAUGGCUGUCAGAGGAGCUCUUUGCUGCUCUGUCAGCUGAAGUAUACAGCUGUUGAUACAUGGACCCGCUCAUGGGCCUCUACUGGGUAGGCAAUUUAUUGCUCAUGCUUUAGUAGAUGGCUUAGGAUCUGUGUCUGUCAACACAAUCACAGGAGCGUGCUUAUGCACGCAUACCUCUUUUUCUCGACCUGAGCUCAGGCAAGAUUACCCGCUGAACUUAA